RNAcentral lists this ribosomal RNA (853 nucleotides) under uncultured Thermoplasmata archaeon. RNAcentral describes it as "bacterial SSU rRNA". It matches the Rfam family "Archaeal small subunit ribosomal RNA", at positions 43 to 903 of the family's 1478-position model. Lineage: Archaea; Methanobacteriati; Thermoplasmatota; Thermoplasmata. The record is from RNAcentral.
CGCUAGCAUGCGAGUCGAGAGGGUUCGGCCCUCGGCAGACUGCUCAGUAACACGUGGAGAACUUGCCCUAGGCUGGAGGAUAAUCUCGGGAAACUGAGGAUAAUACUCCAUAGCCCACGCGUCCUGGAACGGUGUGUGGGUGAAAGCUCCGGCGGCCUAGGAUAGCUCUGCGGCCUAUCAGGUUGUAGCGAGGGUAACGUCCUCGCUAGCCUACGACGGGUAUGGGUGUUGGGAGACAUCGCCCAGAGAUGGAUUCUGAGACACGAAUCCAGGCCCUACGGGGCGCAGCAGGCGCGAAAACUGCACAAUGUGGGAAACCACGAUGCGGGAAACCCAAGUGCCAGCACUAUGUGUUGGCUGUCCUCGACUGUUUGUAGGUCGGGAAGAAAGAGCUGGGUAAGACGGGUGCCAGCCGCCGCGGUAAUACCCGCAGCUCAAGUGGUGGUCAUUAUUAUUGGGCCUAAAGCGUCCGUAGCUGGUUUGUUAAAUGCCUGGGUAAAUCGAUGCGCUCAACGCAUCGAAUUCCGGGUAGACUGGCAAACUCGAGACCGGGAGAGGUGUAGGCUACUCGAGGGGUAGGGGUAAAAUCCUGUAAUCCUUCGGGGAGGACCAGUGGCGAAGGCGCUACACUAGAACGGCUCUGACAGUGAGGGACGAAGCCCUGGGGCGCAAACCGGAUUAGAUACCCGGGUAGUCCAGGGUGUAAACGCUGCAGACUUGGUGUCGGUGAUCCUACGAGGGUUGCCGGUGCCGUAGAGAAGUUGUUUAGUCUGCCGCCUGGGGAGUACGGUCGCAAGACUGAAACUUAAAGGAAUUGGCGGGGGAGCACCGCAACGCGUGGAGUGUGCGGUUU